AGAACGAACGCUGGCGGCAGGCUUAACACAUGCAAGUCGAACGAAGCCUUCGGGCUUAGUGGCGGACGGGUGAGUAACGCGUGGGAACGUGCCCUUCUCUACGGAAUAGUCUCGGGAAACUGGGGGUAAUACCGUAUACGCCCUUCGGGGGAAAGAAUUUCGGAGAGGGAUCGGCCCGCGUUGGAUUAGGUAGUUGGUGGGGUAAUGGCCUACCAAGCCGACGAUCCAUAGCUGGUUUGAGAGGAUGACCAGCCACACUGGGACUGAGACACGGCCCAGACUCCUACGGGAGGCAGCAGUGGGGAAUCUUAGACAAUGGGCGCAAGCCUGAUCUAGCCAUGCCGCGUGGACGAUGAAGGCCUUAGGGUUGUAAAGUCCUUUCGCUGGGGAAGAUAAUGACUGUACCCAGUAAAGAAGCCCCGGCUAACUCCGUG
RNAcentral lists this ribosomal RNA (434 nucleotides) under uncultured bacterium. RNAcentral's name for it is "bacterial SSU rRNA". It matches the Rfam family "Bacterial small subunit ribosomal RNA", at positions 26 to 507 of the family's 1533-position model. The record is from RNAcentral.